Molecule: non-coding RNA, 31 nt
Filed under: Rattus norvegicus (Norway rat)
Lineage: Eukaryota; Metazoa; Chordata; Mammalia; Rodentia; Muridae
Source: RNAcentral
UGGGGACCAUAUGUCAUGAAGAUUGUACAGU